GAUGAACGCUAGCGGCAGGCCUAACACAUGCAAGUCGAGGGGCAGCACAUAAAGUGGUUUACUACUUUUGGUGGCGACCGGCGGACGGGUGCGUAACGCGUAUGCAACCUGCCUCCAACAGGGGGAUAACGGAGAGAAAUUUCCACUAAUACCCCAUAAUAUCAGAAUCGGCAUCGGUUUUGGUUGAAAACUCCGGUGGUUGGAGAUGGGCAUGCGUUGUAUUAGAUAGUUGGGGAGGUAACGGCUCACCAAGUCAACGAUACAUAGGGGGAUUGUGAGGUUAGCCCCCCACACUGGUACUGAGACACGGACCAGACUCCUACGGGAGGCAGCAGUGAGGAAUAUUGGUCAAUGGGGGCAACCCUGAACCCGCCAUGCCGCGUGCAGGAAGACGGCUCUAUGAGUUGUAAACUGCUUUUACAAGGGGAUAAAUCGGUGUACGUGUACACCGUUGAAGGUACCUUGGGAAUAAGGAUCGGCUAACUCCGUGCCAGCCGCCGCGGUAA
This 506-nucleotide ribosomal RNA is filed under the name uncultured bacterium. RNAcentral describes it as "partial 16S ribosomal RNA". It matches the Rfam family "Bacterial small subunit ribosomal RNA", at positions 28 to 523 of the family's 1533-position model. The record is from RNAcentral.